This 67-nucleotide transfer RNA is filed under the name Cavia porcellus (domestic guinea pig). It matches the Rfam family "tRNA". Rfam says of the family: Transfer RNA (tRNA) molecules are approximately 80 nucleotides in length. Lineage: Eukaryota; Metazoa; Chordata; Mammalia; Rodentia; Caviidae. The record is from Rfam by way of RNAcentral.
GGGGGUGUAGCUCAGUGGUAGAGCACUUGCCUGGCAUGCAAAGGCCCAGGUUCAAUCCCCACCACCA